Molecule: long non-coding RNA, 512 nt
Filed under: Phascolarctos cinereus (koala)
Lineage: Eukaryota; Metazoa; Chordata; Mammalia; Diprotodontia; Phascolarctidae
Description: lncRNA (ENSPCIG00000000580.2)
Source: RNAcentral
AUGAAACUGAGCCUUACCAGGGAAACAGAAACUGACCGAGCAUCACUGGAGGAGAGCCAAAGGAAAGGAUUAUUAUCAAAUGGGGACCAGUGGCCACGCAGAGCACUUCUCCAGGUGGUGUCCUAUCUGACCAGCCAAGGCUCUUUCAACAGGGCUUCUCACGCCAAGGGUUGUUGGCCUUUGGCCUUCCAGCCCUGGGCAUGGGCAUCACUGACAGUUCUGAUCAGCAGGGAUGAAUGGUGGUGUUGGGCCAGCCAGUGGGCUUGUGGCCAUCCUAUACCAUCCUUGGGCCUGGGGUGAACACCACUAUGCCAGCCUGAUGUGGGAGCCAAGGCUGGCUAUGAGGUCCAUCAGAAUUUCAUAUGCCAAAAGAAAUGUGAGAAUGAGGGGGUGAGUAGGAGCAGAUGUCUACCAGUAACUCUAACCAGACAAUCAGAGCCCAUAUGAACCUUGCUGACCAGCAAGGAAAUGGGCUUAGUGUUCUGGAUGAAUAAACUGAAUAAAUCUGCUCA